RNAcentral lists this ribosomal RNA (1118 nucleotides) under Thuridilla gracilis. RNAcentral's name for it is "large subunit ribosomal RNA". The stretch from base 453 to 1118 matches the Rfam family "Eukaryotic large subunit ribosomal RNA", at positions 1891 to 3061 of the family's 3401-position model. The record is from RNAcentral. Lineage: Eukaryota; Metazoa; Mollusca; Gastropoda; Plakobranchidae.
CCUAAAAUAAUAUAUUAAUUUGAUUAUUUUUAAUUACAGAAGUGGAGCUACUUAAGUAUUUAGAGGAUUUCUUCCUUUUUGCAUAACGGAUUAAUUAAAAUUAUCUAAGUUUAGAUUUCCCGAAAAUAAAAGAUCUAACUUAUUUCUUGUUUUAGAAAAUAAACUAUUAUGUAGAACUAUAAUAUAAAGAAAAAAUGUUAGGGGUGAAAAACCUACAAUUUUAUUAAUAUCUGGAUUUAUAGGAUAAGUAUUUAGUACUUCAAACAUAUUUAAAGUGUUAAGGCUUUAAAUAAAGAGAAUAUUAAAAAUUUUAUCAAAAAUUAGGGCUAAUAACUCUUAUUUAAAUUUUAAGUUAAAAUUUAUUUUUUAUUGUAUCUCUUUUUUCUUAUAACUUUAUUUAAAAUUGAUUAAUUAAUUGAUAAUGUUAAUAUUAGUAAUAACUUUUUUAAAAUAUUAAAUGUAAAGAAAGGAACUCGGCAAAUAUUUAUCUUAACUGUUUACCAAAAACAUAGCUUUAAGUUUAAUUUAAGGUGAGACCUGCCCAAUGCAAUAAUGUAAACGGCCGCAGUACCUUGACUGUGCUAAGGUAGCAUAAUCAGUUGGCUUUUAAAUGGAGUCGAGAAUGAAUGGAUUAAUGGGAUGAAGCUGUCUCUUUUAUAUUAAUUUGAAUUUACUUAUUAGGUGAAAAUUCCUAUAUUUAGAAAAAAGACGAGAAGACCCUAGGAGUUUUAACUAAUAGUUAUUUUUAACUUAUGUUUUGGUUGGGGCGACGUUGGAGAACUAUAACCUCCUAUAACUUAUUUGCCGAUAAAAUAUGAUAAUAUAAACUACCCUAGGGAUAACAGCGUAAUUCUUUUAGAGCUUGCGACCUCGAUGUUGGACUAGGAAUUUAUUAGGCUAGCCGCUUAUUUAUAUUGUUCUGUUCGAACAAAUUCUCCUACAUGAUCUGAGUUCAACCGGCGUGCAAAUUUAUUAGGCAUAGCCCGCCUUAUUUAUAUUGUUCUGUUCGAACAAAUUUCUCCUACAUGAUCUGAGUCUCAGACAGGCGUAAGCCAGGUCAGAUUCUAUCUUUUAAUGUCUUGUUUUUAGUACGAAAGGAUCAAAGCAGGUUACUUUGU